UACGAAGGGGGCUAGCGUUGCUCGGAAUCACUGGGCGUAAAGGGUGCGUAGGCGGGUCUUUAAGGCAGGGGGGAAAUCCUGGAGCUCAACUCCAGAACUGCCUUUGAUACUGAGGAUCUUGAGUACGGGAGAGGUGAGUGGAACUGCGAGUGUAGAGGUGAAAUUCGUAGAUAUUCGCAAGAACACCAGUGGCGAAGGCGGCUCACUGGCCCGUUACUGACGCUGAGGCACGAAAGCGUGGGGAGCAAACAGG
RNAcentral lists this ribosomal RNA (253 nucleotides) under uncultured bacterium. RNAcentral's name for it is "partial 16S ribosomal RNA". It matches the Rfam family "Bacterial small subunit ribosomal RNA", at positions 524 to 776 of the family's 1533-position model. The record is from RNAcentral.